AAAAUCUGAUACUUGUUUUAAUUUACGUUAACUUUUCGUUAACAAUUGUGAGACACGAAACAGCUUGACCAUGAGAUCUCCCUCAUGGAGUCAAAACCCGUGUUGGUAUCUGUUUUUAGAUCAACUUAUAUAUAUAUAUAUAUAUAUAUAUAUAUAUCUUGUGGAUAAAAGGAAAGUUUACAAGUGAGAAUAGUGGCAUUUUUCUGACAGAUUUCACACCGUUGCUUGUUUUGCAGUUGACUGUGAUUGAAGGUCGAUUAAUCAUCACUGGGCACUCGAUGGGAGGAUCCGUUGCUUCUCUCUUCACCUUAUGCCUGCUAGAAGUCAUUAAUAUAUCAAAACCCAAAUGCCGCCCCAUUUGCAUCACCUUUGGUUCACCCCUCAUAGGCGACUUUGGCCUCCAACACUCCAAUUGGAAUUCUUUCUUCUUGCAUGUAGUGUCCAACCAAGAUCUAGUCCCCGGACUCUUCCUCCCAUCCGGCAGAUCUCCUCCCACAUCCUCCCAUUCACAAACUACUGGUUACAAGCCCUUUGGGACAUAUCUCUUGUGCUCUGAACUUGGUUGUGCUUGUUUUGACAACCCUGAUUUAAUUUUGGAAUUGCUGAAAGUCAUAUCAUCAGAGGUUGCCGGAGGAUUGCGGGAUGUUGAUUACAGGAAGAUUUUAAUAAACCUCAAGGAGAGGGCAAUCUUCAAGGGACUUCAGCAGGUGGGUGAAAGGUUUGCAGAUCCCUUGUCAGCUGGGAUCGUCAUGGACCUUGAGAUAAUUGGAUUUGAUCAAACAAAGGUAAACAGCUUUCUCCCAAUUAAUGAUGUAGUAUGGUUUACACUCAACUUCACCAAAACCUGCAACAACUGCCCUAUUUAGAUUUGCCUUCCUGUUCUUUGGGUUCUUCUAUAACUUCUCAUUUUUUAAAUUCAUGGCAGCUGUUGCGGCACAACAUUGAUAUCAACACUGUGAUAAGGAUACUGGGAGUGGAAGCCAGAAUCCUAGCCCACAAAAAUAAAGCUUCUGAUGCCAAGAAACUGAAUGACAUAAAAAUACACAUGGCCCAGCUAGAAUGGUAUAAGAAGAAAUCAAAAGAUCUGAACAAGGGUUACUACGACUGCUUCAAAAACCAGGGGUCAAAAAGGGACAUUAAAAUUGAACAGUAUAGGGGACACCUCACAAUAUACUGGAAAGACAUGGUUGCACAAGUACAGAGGAAGCCCCAGAAGGAAGGAGCAUCAUUUCGAACCAGUUGGCUCUAUCCAGGGACAACUUAUAGAAGAAUGGUUGAACCACUGGACAUUGCUGCCUUCUACAGAGAGGGUAGAACAGACUACAUAAACAAUGGAAGAUCUCCUCAUUACAAGCUGUUGCAGCAAUGGUAUGAGGAAGAUGUGAAGCCCCCAUCCAGAGAUAAGCUCGAUUCCAAGAAACUAAAGGUGUCUGGUAUCCUAACUGAGGAUUCUUUGUUUUGGGCACAUGUGGAGGAGGCUCUCUUGUCAUGCGAAUCGCUCAAGAGUGCAAACUCUACUCUUGAGCAGAGAAAAUCAUCAUGGGAUAAUCUGGUUAAGUUUGGGGAGUAUGUAAUGGAACAGAUUGGAAACUAUGCAGUGUCCCCUGAGAUUUUCUUGGGGGAAAGCAGCUUCAUGAAAUGGUGGGGAGUGUAUGAGGACUACAUAGAUGCUUCCAAUAAUUCCUAUGGGUCACCAUUGAUCAGCUUUAUGAAGAACCGUAGUUAUAGACUGUAUGGUUAGAGGGCAAUCCAGUUUGUGUAUUGUGUUUAUUGUAUUGUGAGCAUUCAAUAGAUAAAACUAGAAAGAGCGUGACCUUUUUAUGACAACUUUAGAAACCAGGGGUUAAAAGAGACAUUACAAACUGAAGUUUUUGAGAGGAAACCUCAAGAGUAUACUGGGAAGCCAUGGUGGAACAAGUAGAGAGGAAGCCUCAGAAGGAAGGAGCAAUGGUUGAACCACUUGACAUUGUUGCCUACUACAGGGAGGGUGUAAGAAACAACAUAACCGAGGGAAGAUCUGAACGUUAAACGUUGUCCAAUUAUUAUAAAUGUCUUAUACAUUACGUGUGAAAAUACCAAAAAAAAUUAUAUUCAACAUUUAUGUUUGUAUACAAGCAAUAUUUUGGAUAGUUUGAUAUAAAAAACAAAUGAAGAAAAUGAAGAAAAACAUACAAAUAUAUUUACAAUGGACAAACUUAUACAAUUAGUAUAAAUGUCUUGUAUAUUUAGUACAAAUGUCUCGUACUUUGUAAAAAUAUAAAAAUAUAGUAUUUGACUUUUAUAUAUGUGUGAAAAUGUAAAAAGAAAAAGAAAAAUAGUUAGAGCAUUUGGUACCGUGAGUGAUGACUUCACCUAAAGAAAGGUUAAUGAAUAUUAUGGUCUCGAUGGAAGAGCGACUCCGGUAAAAUAUAUGGAUUAAAUUGAUGCUUUUCUUUUGACGAUGAAGUAGUUGAGUUAUGAAUACGAGGUUUUGCUAACAGCAUUGAAGGCAAGGAUUCCCUAAUAUACUCCAAUUCAUAUUCAAUUUGUAGACCUUCAACUAACUACUCUUGCUAACGAGCAUAUCCAAGUCAAUACAUAAGAUUAAUUAAGAUUAAGUAUUACGUAUGAUAAUUGAAACCCUAUUUAAAUAAAUAAUGACACAUAUAUAAAAAAUAUAUAUAUUUUUAAAAAAAUAAAUAACAAUUUAGAGAAUUUCAUAACUUAGCAUCAAACCUAUUGUAAGAAAGAGUAUUAUACAAUGUAGGGUUUAGGAUCCAAGUCAACCUAAGAUCAAAUUUAAGUUUUAAGAUCAAUUCACAUUCAAAACUAAGGUUUUAAGUUUCAAAAAUAUAUUUCUUAAACCAAUUAAAUGGAAAAAAGAAAAUUACAAAGAAAAUUUCUCCCUCAUCAGUUUCUUUUAUCUUGAAAACUAAAGGAAAUAUAUAUCAAUAUUUGAGAUGGAAAUUCAUAAUCUUAGGUGGUGUUUGUUUUUUUGGCUUUUUGCUGAAAACUAUUUAGUUUUAGAAUUUAGGUUUUUUUUUUUUUUUACUUUUUCAUGACUUAUAAUAAACUUUUUACUAAAUAGAAAAAACCAAAAUAUGUGGUUUUUUCUAAAUAGAAAAAAUAACACAAUGGUUUUUUUUACUUUUUAAUACUUAAUAGAAAUAAAAUACUACAAAAACAAACAUCUUAAUAUUUAAUACUAUUAAGUAUUAAGGUUCUAUUUAGAAUUAAGUAAAAAAACAAACACCACCUUAGAAACACAAAGAACAAAGAGAGUAUGAAGAGACCAUACCAUGAGAGAUUUUCCGAAAGGUUGGUAAACCAUGGUAAUCACCUUUGAGUCUUGCUGAGAAAAACAAACCUUAUUUAUUUUUAUUUUUUUAUCAUUUUUUCUCUUGUGUGGUGUACAUUUAAGAAAAACAAAUCUCAAAAAAAAAAAAAAACACAAACCAAAUAAUGCCAGAAUUUGGGUUGAGAAACACCCAAAAGAUAGUGGCCCAAUACAUGUGCCUAAGAAAAUCUUCAUGAGCCGAUAAACAUAGUCACAAAACUAGUAACAGCCUUGUAGCCAUAGUUGGUGUAGUAUGAGCAAGUGGGGUAUGAAGUAGGUAGGUGAGUAUUGCAAUGAAAUUUCCAGCACUGCUUCCUGAAUUAAGAAAUCACAUACCCAAGUCUUAGUCGUCGUCGUCGUCGUACCGUGUGAGAACCGGGAAGAAUCUUUGCUCGUAGACUGGCUUUUGUAGUCUUUCUUUAACAAUUACAAGUUAUCUGAAUUCCCUUCAUCCUCCUAUAUAAUAUUGUUUUGGUCUUGUUCUUGUUGCAUUGUGGCUAGGCAUCUCCAUGGAAGGAAGGAGGAUGAAUCAAGUUCCUUUGUAUGAAUCAAUUUCUCUGCUCUUUUUUUUUUUCAAUCCUUGAAUCGAAUCAUUGCUUAGUUCUUGCUUUAAUUUCUCCAUUUUCUGUUGGGUCUUUGAUUGCAGGUUUAGCUCUGCAAGAGAACUGGGAAAUUUAAUUGUGACCUCCAAUCUAAUCGACUCUGCUUUGACUAAAAUUCUUGAGCUUCAAAGAGACCAAACAGCCUUGCUUUCCCCCGUUCAAUACAGAGUUUUUUUAUCCAUCUCCCAACUGCACAAUUGUAGCUUUUGUCUCUUCACCUGACUGCACUCAAAACCCUCUUCCUGGACAAGGAGAUUUAGUUCCCUCUCCUCUCUUUGACUUCCUCUGCACCGAAGAAUACAAGUCCGUCUCCAUUAACAGAGCUGCAUUAACCCUCUUUACCUCUCUCCACGAUCAUCUCUCUGGACUAAAAACUCAGGUCAAAAUAUGAUAGUUGUUUUUAUUUUCGUUUCCUUUUUGUUAACAAUUGUGAGACAUGAAACAGCUUGACCAUGAGAUCUCUCUCAUAGAGUCAAACUACCUGAAGAAGAAGAAGACGUUACACAUAUCCAUCUGCGUUGCAUCAUCGCAUUACCCAUUGAUCGGUUGUGAUUCAACUCUUAAUAGGAAGACAGUAGAACUGGUGUUGGUAUCUGUUUUUAGAUCAGCUUAUAUGUAUCUUGUUGCUAAAAAGGGAAUGUUUAGAAGUGAGAUUAAUGGGAUUAUUCUGACAUGGAUUUCAUAUGGUUACCUGUUUUGCAGUUGACUGUGAUUGAAGGUCAAUUAAUCAUCACUGGGCACUCCCUGGGAGGAGCCGUUGCUUCUCUCUUCACCUUAUGCCUGCUAGAUGAAAAUUUAUUAAAACCCAAAUGCCGCCCCUUUUGUAUCACCUUUGGUUCACCCCUCGUCGGCGGCUUUGGCCUCCAACACUCCAUAUGGAAUUCUUUCUUCCUGCAUGUAGUGUCUAACCAAGACCCAGUCCCCGGUCUCUUCCUCCCAUCUGGCAGAGGCAGAUCUACGCCCACAUCCUCCCAUUCACAAACUACCGGUUACAAGCCCUUUGGGACAUAUCUCUUGUGCUCUGAACUUGGUUGUGCUUGUUUUGACAACCCUGAUUUAAUUUUGGAAUUGCUGAAAGUCAUAUCAUCAGAGGUUGCCGGAGGAUUGCAGGAUGUUGAUUAUGGGGAGAUUUUAAGAAACCUCAAGGAGAGGGCAAUCUGCAAGGGACUUCCGCAGGUGGGUGAAAGGUUUGCAAAUCCAUUUUCAGCUGGGAUCAUCAUGGAACUUGAGACAAUUGGAUUUAAUCAAACAAAGGUAAACAGCUUUCUCCCAUCUAAUGAUGUUAUGGAACAUGGUUUACACCUCAUUAAAUACUGCAACAACUGCCCUAUUUAGAUUUACCUUCUUGUUCUUUGGGAUUUUCCAUAACUAGACUCAUUUUUUAAUUUCAUGGCAGCUGCUGCAGCAUAACAUUGAUAUCGAGACUGUGAUAAGCGCAAUGGAAGCGGAAGCAAGAAACCUAACCCAGAAAAAUAAAGCUUCCGAUGCCAAGAAACUGAAUGAAAUAAAAAUAGACAUGACCCGGCUAGAAUUGUAUAAGAAGAAUUCGAACAUGGGUUACUACGAUUGCUUCAAAAACCAGGGGUCUAAAAGGGACAUCCACGUUGAACAGUUUAGGGUAAACCUCACAGGGUACUGGGAAGGCAUGGUUGCACAAAUACAGAGGAAGCCUCAUAAGGAAGGAGCAACAUUUCGAACCCGUUGGCUCUAUGCAGGGACGGUUUAUAGAAGAAUGGUUGAACCACUGGACAUUGCUGCCUUCUACAGAGAGGGUAGAAAAGACUACAUGAAUAAAAGAUCUGCACAUUACAAGCUGUUGCAGGAAUGGUAUGAGGAAGAUGUGAAACCCCCCUCUAGAGAUAAGCUUGAUUCCAAGAAGCAAAAGGUGUCCAGUAUCCUAACUGAGGAUUCUUGCUUUUGGGCACAUGUGGAGGAGGCUAUCUUGUCAUGCGAAUUGCUCAAGAGUGAAAACUGUAAUCUUGAGGAGGGAAAAUCAUCAUGGGAUAAUCUGGUUAAGUUCGAGGAGUAUGUAAUGGAACAGAUUGACAACUAUGCAGUGUCCCCUGAGAUUUUCUUGGAGAAAAGCAGCUUCAUGAAAUGGAGGGGACUGUAUGAGGGCUACAUAGAUACUCGCAGUAAUUCCCAUAGCUCGCCAUUGAUCAGCUUUAUGAAGAAUCGUAGUUAUAGACAAUAUGGAUAGAGGGGUAAUCCAGUUUGUGUGUUGUGUGUAUUGUUUUGUGAGCAUUCAAUGGAUAGAACUAGAAAGAGUGUGACCUUUUCCUUUUUUUUUUCAGUUGCUGCCCAUAUUCUCAGCACUAUUUUCUUCCUUCUUUUCCUCAGUUUUUUUGUUAAGAAAUGAAUAUUAUGAUGUUGCCGGGAUGCACUUUCAUUUUUGUUCCAUUACAUUGUGUUUUAUUCAUAUCCUAAACAAAUAAAUGUAAACAAGAAAAUCAAAUGAGACUUCAAAGAGUCUGUUCCUUUUAAAGCAAGGGAAAAAAAGGACAUGUUUGUUUACUUCCACAGCUGGGUAGAUUCAACUCCACCAAAAUUGGCAACAACUUCCCAUUGAAAAAUUCCUUUUAAGCUUGAAUGACAUAAAACUAGAUAUGUUCCAGCUAGAAUGGUACAAGAAAGAAAUCAAAAGAUGAGCACAAUGGGUUAUUAUGACAGCUUUAGAAACCUGGGGUGUAAAAGAGACAUUAAAAUGGAACCGAGGGGAAGACAUUGUAGAACAAGUAAAGAGGAAGCCUCACCAGGAAGGGCAGCUUUGCAAACCCUCUGGCUCUGUACAGGAACGAAUUAUAGAAAGAUGGUUGAACCACUUGACAUUGCUGCCUACCACAGAGAGGGUGGAAGAAACUACAUAACCAAUGGAGGAUGUAAACAUUACACGCUAUUAGAGCAAUGAUGCAAUGAAGAGAAGGGGACUUUGUCUUCCAAUAAUUUAAGAAAAUAAAACCAAAUAAUGCCAGAAUUUGGGUUGAGAAACACCCAAAAGAUAGUGGCCCAAUAUGAAGUAGUCACAAAACUAGUAACAGCCUUGUGGCCAUAGUUGGUGUAGUAUGAGCAAGUGGGGUAUGAAGUAGGUAGGUGAGUAUUGCAAUGAAAUUUCCAGCACUGCUUCCUGAAUUAAGAAAUCACAUACUCAAGUCUUAAUCGUUGUCAUCAUACCGUGUGAGAACCGAGGAAGAAUCUUUGCUCUUAGACUGGAUUUUGUAGUCUUUCUUUAACAAUUACAAGUUAUCUGAAUUCCCUUCAUCCUCCUAUAUAAUAUUGUUUUUGGUCUUGUUCUUGUUGCAUUGUGGCUAGGCAUCUCCAUGGGAGGAAGGAGGAUGAAUCAAGUUCCUUUGUAUGAAUCAAUUUCUCUGCUCUUUUUUUUUUCAAUCCUUGAAUCGAAUCAUUGCUUAGUUCUUGCUUUAAUUUCUCCAUUUUCUGUUGGGUCUUUGAUUGCAGGUUUAGCUCUGCAAGAAAACUGGGAAAUUUAAUUGUGACCUCCAAUCUAAUCGACUCUGCUUUGACUAAAAUUCUUGAGCUUCAAAGAGACCAAACAGCCUUGCCUUCCCCCGUUCAAUACAGAGUUUUUUAUCCAUCUCCCAACUGCACAAUUGUAGCUUUUGUCUCUUCACCUGACUGCACUCAAAACCCUCUUCCUGGACAAGGAGAUUUAGUUCCCUCUCCUCUCUUUGACUUCCUCUGCACCGAAGAAUACAAGUCCGUCUCCAUUAACAGAGCUGCAUUAACCCUCUUUACCUCUCUCCACGAUCAUCUCUCUGGACUAAAAACUCAGGUCAAAAUAUGAUAGUUGUUUUUAUUUUCGUUUCCUUUUUGUUAACAAUUGGGAGACAUGAAACAGCUUGACCAUGAGAUCUCUCUCAUAGAGUCAAACUACCUGAAGAAGAAGAAGACGUUACACAUAUCCAUCUGCGCUGCAUCAUCGCAUUACCCAUUGAUCGGUUGUGAUUCAACUCUUAAUAGGAAGACAGUAGAACUGGUGUUGGUAUCUGUUUUUAGAUCAGCUUAUAUGUAUCUUGUUGCUAAAAAGGGAAUGUUUAGAAGUGAGAUUAAUGGGAUUAUUCUGACAUGGAUUUCAUAUGGUUACCUGUUUUGCAGUUGACUGUGAUUGAAGGUCGAUUAAUCAUUACUGGGUACUCGAUGGGAGGAUCCGUUGCUUCUCUCUUCACCUUAUGCCUGUUAGAAGUCAUCAAUUUAUCAAAACCCAAAUGCCGCCCCAUUUGUAUCACCUUUGGUUCACCCCUCAUAGGCGACUUUGGCCUCCAACACUCCAAUUGGAAUUCUUUCUUCUUGCAUGUAGUGUCCAACCAAGAUCUAGUCCCCGGACUCUUCCUCCCAUCCGACAGAUCUCCUCCCACAUCCUCCCAUUCACAAACUACUGGUUACAAGCCCUUUGGGACAUAUCUCUUGUGCUCUGAACUUGGUUGUGCUUGUUUUGACAACUCUGAUUUAAUUUUGGAAUUGCUGAAAGUCAUAUCAUCAGAGGUUGCCAGAGGAUUGCGGGAUGUUGAUUACAGGAAGAUUUUAAGAAACCUCAAGGAGAGGGCAAUCUGCAAGGGACUUCCGCAGGUGGGUGAAAGGUUUGCAAAUCCAUUUUCAGCUGGGAUCAUCAUGGAACUUGAGACGAUUGGAUUUAAUGAAACAAAGGUAAACAGCUUUCUCCCAUCUACUGAUGUUAUGGAACAUGGUUUACACAUCAUUAAAUACUGCAACAACUGCCCUAUUUAGAUUUAGGGCAAUGAUGAAAAUAUCAGUAAUCACGGAUAUAUCAGUAUUUCGAUUUUACGGAUAUAUCGGAUAUAUCGGAGAUAUAUCGGUAGAUAUUUUGAAAAAAAAUAUCGGCAAGCUUAAAAUUGUUAAAAACUCAUGAAAAUAUAAGAAAAUCUCAUAAUAAUAUAAUUAAAAGUAUAAUAGACAUUUUAAAGUUAUUUUAUUGAAAAUUUUGAUAUAUGUAUAACAUGAUUUAUCAUAUUUGAUAAUAAUAUCGUAUGCGUCGAUAAAAAUAUGAAUUUUAUAAGUGUACAUUUAUUAUUAAAUUACACCUAAUAUUAUGAUAUCUGAUUAUAAUAUGUCUAAUUUUAAAAUAUAUAUUAGUAUUAAAAUAUGAUCCAUUUAAUUCAAUUGUAUUAAACAAUAUAAAAUAAAUAAUGAUAUAUAUAUAUAUAUAUAUAAUUUUUUAAUAUUUAAUUAAUUAUUAAUGAUAUUAAAAACAUUAUGAAGAAAAUUAUAUAAUUUUUUAAUUUUUGGUAAUUAAUUAAAAGACUUUGCAUUUAAUUAUAAAUUAAUUAUAAUUAAUUUACUCUUUAAAAUAUUCUUAUAUUUUCUUUAUAUAAUGAAUUUAAGUAUAUAUAUAGUUGUUGCAUAUUAUAUAUUAAAGGACAACUUAGCCCAAGUGGUAAGCGAGUGAACCCCAAUGUGAGGCAUUGUAGCACGUGCACUGUAGCAUCACUGUAGCGACUCUGACUUUCGUUGACCCGCAUUGACUACACGAUAUAUCGGAGAAAAAUCACUGAUUUAUCGCCAAAUCACCAAUAAAUCGCCGAUUUCUCGCGAUAAAUACCAAAAUAUAGUGUCGAAACCCUUCGAUACACGAUUUUUCGGCGCAUUUUCUUACUUGGAUUUACCUUUUUGUUCUUUGGGAUCUUCCAUGACUCAUUUUUUAAUGCCAUUUUAUUUUCCUUUUUGUUUCUAAAUUUUUAAAAAAUCGUUUUCACUUCUUUUUUUUAAGAAAAUUUUGGCAAAUUUUGAAAAUAUAAUAUUAGUGUUUUCACUUCUUUCUUUUUUUUUUUUUUCUUUUUUUUUUUAAACUCAAUUUUCUAAAAAAUGAAAAUAGAAAAACAUUGUCUAAACAUGUUUGUAAACUUAAUUUUAUUUUUUUAUAAAUGAAAAAAAAAAUCUAAAUGAGUAAGGCUUUAUUAAUUUUAAUUUUUUUCUUUUCCUUAUAUUUUCUUAUUUUAUUCCAAAUUUUCUUGCAACCAAACAUAAUCUAAAUGUUUACAACUUUUAUUGUAAGGAAUGAAUGACACUACUUUGUGAACUUUUAUGAUAAUAUUUUGAAUCAUAAAUUGUGUUUUUUUUAGUAAUAUCAAUUUUAUUACCAAUGACUUAAUUGUUAAUAACAAAAUAUAAUAUUUAUAAAUAUUUUUAUUCUCAACAGGCUACAAUUUUUACUCUUGUGAUAAAAAAAAUUUUGUCAUAAAUUACACAUUAUGAUGAGUUUUUCUAUUUUCCUUAUCAGCCAAUUCAACAAAUAUCAUAUAUAUUGUAAUGGCUAACAAAUUUUCACAUAAAUUUUUUAUAAGAUAAAGUAGAAUGGAAUUAUUCAAUUUCAAAAAAAAAAAAAAUGGUACCUAAUGAAAAAGAUAAAAUAUAUAGAUCAUCUCGAAGAAAUCAGGAAAGAUAAAUGAUGAGACCAUAUAUAGGACCCUUGAUGGAGACUAUUUUAAUUGAAGUGGUGUGCUCCUUCCGACUCAGAACAUGUUCAGCAUUGCACACAAACUAACAUCGUCGAUCUUGAGUAUGAAAAAGGUGAUUAGAUUCCAAGGUUGUCGUUUGUCCCAACUCCUCAUAUUAGAGGUGAUGCUCAAGCUAACGUGCCUCGCAGUUGAGCCCCGGCCAAUCGGUCUAAUAUGCUUUUCCAAUGGUGAGUUUCACUGCCACCAUGUAUUACAUUAAUUCCGAUAGCGCACAAGUUGUGUUUGUGCUAUUGCUUUUUGCCCUCACAAACAUAUACACAAGAGACAUUCAGACCAGAUCUGUUCUACCAUCCUCUAGGAAAGCAUUGUAGGUCAUUUGAAAUUGGGAUUUCAGCACCAGAGUCAAAUUGCCUUCCUUCCUGAAAGAUGAGCAUUUUUUAUACUCUUACAUCGGCUUUUAUGGAAAUGAAAUCAGCUUCUCAUUCUGUUACAUUUUUCAAUUUUGCUGCCUAUAACUGCUCACUGCCUGUUUGUGAGACAUUAUCCAGAUUUUCCCUGAUCAAUUAUAGAGAGGUCAUUGGACUCAUCCAUGAUUGGAAUUUCCUGUUAUCAUUAUUUGCAAAUCAUCAACCAUUUGUCAUGAUAUCUUAAGUUAAGCUGAGCACGAAUUUCAGCUAAGAUCCUCAGAACUAGAAAUAUGCACUGCAGGUAUUACUUGAUAUGUGAAUAUCCAAUACAAUAUUUUUUUACUAAGAGGAAUACGAAUUUGAAACACUUUCCAAUAAUUUAUCAAGUCAUAUUUUCGUGCUGUCGUGAUACAUGUGUCUACUGUAUGCAUGGCUUUUCUUUUCUACACAUGCCUUUAUCUUUGCACAUGACUCUUUUGAUACACGCCAGCAUCAAGGCAAUUGCCUAAAUCUAAAUCACAUCCUUUGUGUCACGUCUUCCUUGUUACCACGGUCCUCUUGUACACCAUGGUCCCUUAAUGUAACUUGUGCCACAAGCCCUUUGUGCAUGAAUUCAAAUUGUUCAAUCAUUUCGCCAUUUACACCUUUUAAGGUCCAAUAAGCGUAUACAAGAGACUACACUCAUUCUAGAUGAUAAAGUACAUUCAACUAACUACUCUUGCUAAUGAGCAUAUCCAAGUCAAUACAUAAGAUUAAUUAUUACAUAUGGUAAUUGAAACCCUGUUUAAAUAAAUAGUGACACAAAUAUAAAAAAUAUAUAUAUUUAAAAAUAAAUAAAUAACAAUUUAGAGAAUUUCAUAACUUAGUAUCAAACCUAUUGUAGGAAAGAGUAUUAUACAAUGUAGGGUUUAGGAUCAAAGUUAACCUAAGAUCAAUUUUAAGUUUUAAGACCAAUUCAAAUUCAAAACUAAGGUUUUAAGUUUCAAAAAUAUAUCUCUUAAACCAAUUAAAUAGAAAAAAGAAAAUUACAAAGAAAAUUUCUUCCUCAUCGGUUUCUUUUAUCUUGAAAACUAAAGGAAAUAUAUAUCAAUAUUUGAGAUGGAAAUUCAUAAUCUUAGAAACACAAAGAACAAAGAGAGUAUGAAGAGACCAUACCAUGAGAGAUUUUCCAAAAGGUUGGUAAACCAUGGUAAUCACCUUUGAGUUUUGCUGAGAAAAACAAACCUUAAUUUUUAUUUUUAUUUUUUUAUCAUUUUUUCUCUUGUGGUGUACAUUUAAGAAAAACAAAUCUUAAAAAAAAAAAAAAAAAAACCAAAUAAUGCCAGAAUUUGGGUUGAGAAACACCCAAAAGAUAGUGGCCCAAUACAUGUGCCUAAGAAAAUCUUCAUGAGCCGAUAAACAUAGUCACAAAACUAGUAACAGCCUUGUAGCCAUAGUUGGUGUAGUAUGAGCAAGUGGGGUAUGAAGUAGGUAGGUGAGUAUUGCAAUGAAAUUUCCAGCACUGCUUCCUGAAUUAAGAAAUCACAUACCCAAGUCUUAGUCGUCGUCGUCGUACCGUGUGAGAACCGGGAAGAAUCUUUGCUCGUAGAGUGGCUUUUGUAGUCUUUCUUUAACAAUUACAAGUUAUCUGAAUUCCCUUCAUCCUCCUAUAUAAUAUUGUUUUUGGUCUUGUUCUUGUUGCAUUGUGGCUAGGCAUCUCCAUGGAAGGAAGGAGGAUGAAUCAAGUUCCUUUGUAUGAAUCAAUUUCUCUGCUCUUUUUCUUUUCAAUCCGUGAAUCGAAUCAUUGCUUAGUUCUUGCUUUAAUUUCUCCAUUUUCUGUUGGGUCUUUGACUGCAGGUUUAGCUCUGCAAGAGAACUGGGAAAUUUAAUGGUGACCUCCAAUCUAAUCGACUCUGCUUUGACUAAAAUUCUUGAGCUUCAAAGAGACCAAACAGCCUUGCUUUCCUCCGUUCAAUACAGAGUUUUUUAUCCAUCUCCCAAGUGCACAAUUGUAGCUUUUGUCUCUUCACCUGACUGCACUCAAAACCCUCUUCCUGGACAAGGAGAUUUAGUUCCGUCUCCUCUCUUUGACUUCCUCUGCACCGAAGAAUACAAGUCCGUCUCCAUUAACAGAGCUGCAUUAACCCUCUUUACCUCUUUCCACGAUCAUCUCUCUGGACUAAAAACUCAGGUCAAAAUAUGAUAGUUGUUUUUAUUUUCGUUUCCUUUUUGUUAACAAUUGUGAGACAUGAAACAGCUUGACCAUGAGAUCUCUCUCAUAGAGUCAAACUACCUGAAGAAGAAGAAGACGUUACACAUAUCCAUCUGCGUUGCAUCAUCGCAUUACCCAUUGAUCGGUUGUGAUUCAACUCUUAAUAGGAAGACAGUAGAACUGGUGUUGGUAUCUGUUUUUAGAUCAGCUUAUAUGUAUCUUGUUUCUAAAAAAGGUAAGUUUAGAAGUGAGAUUAAUGGGAUUAUUCUGACAUGGAUUCCAUAUGGUUACCUGUUUUGCAGUUGACUCAGAUUGAAGGUCAAUUAAUCAUCACUGGGCACUCCCUGGGAGGAUCCGUUGCUUCUCUCUUCACCUUAUGCCUGCUAGAUGGAAAUUUAUUAAAACCCAACUGCCGCCCCUUUUGUAUCACCUUUGGUUCACCCCUCAUCGGCGGCUUUGGCCUCCAACACUCCAUAUGGAAUUCUUUCUUCCUGCAUGUAGUGUCUAACCAAGACCCAGUCCCCGGUCUCUUCCUCCCAUCUGGCAGAGGCAGAUCUACGCCCACAUCCUCCCAUUCACAAACUACCGGUUACAAGCCCUUUGGGACAUAUCUCUUGUGCUCUGAACUUGGUUGUGCUUGUUUGGAAAAGCCUGAUUUAAUUUUGGGAUUGCUGAAAGUCAGAUCAUCCGAGGUUGCCGGAGGAUUGCAGGAUGUUGAUUAUGGGGAGAUUUUAAGAAACCUCAAGGAGAGGGCAAUCUGCAAGGGACUUCAGCAGGUGGGUGAAAGGUUUGCAGAUCCUUUUACAGCUGGGAUCAUCAUGGACCUUGAGAUAAUUGGAUUUGAUCAAACAAAGGUAAACAGCUAGCUUUCUCCCAUCUAAUGAUGUUAUGAAACAUGGUUUACACUUCACCAAAUACUGCAACAACUGCCCUAUUUAGAUUUGCCGUCUUGUUCUUUGGGAUCUUCCAUAACUAGACUCAUUUUUUAAUUUCAUGGCAGCUGCUGCAGCAUAACAUUGAUAUCGAGACUGUGAUAAGCACAAUGGAAGAGGAAGCCAGAAACCCAACCAAAAAAAAUAAAGCUUUCGAUGCCAAGAUUCUGAAUCACAAAAAAAAAGACAUGGCCGGGCUAGAAUGGUAUAAGAAGAAAUCAAAAGAUCUGAACAAGGGUUACUACGACUGCUUCAAAAACCAGGGGUCAAAAAGGGACAUUAAAAUUGAACAGUAUGGGGGACACCUCACAUUAUACUGGAAAGACAUGGUUGCACAAGUACAGAGGAAGCCCCAGAAGGAAGGAGCAACAUUUCGAACCCGUUGGCUCUAUGCAGGGACGGUUUAUAGAAGAAUGGUUGAACCACUGGACAUUGCUGCCUUCUACGUAGAGGGUGGAACAGACUACAUGAAGAAUGAAAGAUCUCUUCAUUACAAGCUGUUGCAGCAAUGGUAUGAGGAAGAUGUGAAACCCCCCUCUAAGGAUAAGCUUGAUUCCAAGAAGCAAAAGGUGUCUGGUAUCCUAACUGAGGAUUCUUGCUUUUGGGCACAUGUGGAGGAGGCUAUCUUGUCAUGCGAAUUGCUUAAGAGUGAAAACUGUACUCUUGAGCAGGAAAAAUCAUCAUGGGAUAAUCUGGUUAAGUUCGAGGAGUAUGUAAUGGAACAGAUUAACAACUAUGCAGUGUCCCCUGAGAUUUUCUUGGGGGAAAGCAGCUUCAUGAAAUGGUGGGGACUGUAUGAGGGCUACAUAUAUGCUCGCAGUAAUUCCCAUAGGUCACCAUUGAUCAGCUUUAUGAAGAACGGUAGUUAUACAGAGUAUCGUUAGAGGGGUAAUCCAGUUUGUGUGUUGUGUGUAUUGUUUUGUGAGCAUUCAAUGGAUAGAACUAGAAAGAGUGUGACCUUUUUCCUUUUUUUCUUCUAGUUGCUGCCCAUAUUCUCAGCACUAUUUUCUUCCUUCUUUUCCUCAGUUUUUUCUUAAGAAAUGAAUAUUAUGAUGUUGCUGGGAUGCACUUUCAUUUUUGUUCCAUUACAUUGUGUUUUAUUCAUAUCCUAAACAAAUAAAUGUAAACAAGAAAAUCAAAUAAGACUUCAAAGAGUCUGUUCCUUUUAAAGCAAGGGAAAAAAAGGACAUGUUUGUUUACUUCCACAGCUGGGUAGAUUCAACUCCACCAAAAUUGGCAACAACUUCCCAUUGAAAAAUUCCUUCUAAGCUUGAAUGACAUAAAACUAGAUAUGUUCCAGCUAGAAUGGUACAAAAAAGAAAUCAAAAGAUGAGCACAAUGGGUUAUUAUGACAGCUUUAGAAACCAUCUUACAACACAUCCAUCAGAAUUUAGACUAUUCAUAGAAACAUUCUUAACAUGUAAAUCUACUAUUGCCAUGCACGUCAACAUAGAAUUUCUAAAAUGAUUGAAUAAAAUAAAUAAAACAAAAGAAACCCUUCCAAGAGAAUUUCAUAAUCUAAUGUCAAAUCUAUUACGAAGAUGAACAUGUAAAAUUUAAGGUUUAUAAUCAAAGUCGACUUGAAUCUGAGUUUUAAAACCAAUUUGCAGUUUUUAAGUUUGGAGACUAGAUCUCUUAAACCAAUUAAAUGUAAAAAACUAAAAAGAAAACUUCUUCAAAUUUUGAAAUGAGAAUGAGAAUGCAAUUCCUAACUAGUUUCUUCAUCAAAAAUCCCGAAAAAAAAAAAAAAAGAAGAGAGAGAGAGACCAUAGACGCCAGUGUUUGGGUUUAGAACCACCCAAGAGAGAGUAGUCCAAUAUAUGGGCUUAAGAAAAUCCUCAUGGGCCUAAGCUAAGACUAGGAACAAUCUUGUAUCCGUGGUUGGUUUAGUAUGAGCAUGUGUACUGCGAAGGAAGUAGCUGAGAAUUGCAAUGGAAUUUCCAGUACUGCUUCCUGAACGAACAAAUCGCAUACCCAAGAUUUGGUCGUCAACGCCAUGCUGGGUGAGAACCGGGGAAGCAUCUUCGCUCGUUGACGAGCUUUUGUAGUCCUUCUUUAACAAUUAUAAGGCAUCUGAAUUCCCUUCAUCCUCCCACACCAUUGUUUUUGGUCUUGUUCUUGUUGCUUUGUGACUACGCAUCUCCAUGGAAGGAAGGAGGAUGAACCAAGUUCCUUUGUAUGCAUCAAUUUUACUGUUUUUUUUUUCCUUUUUAAUCUUUGGAUCGAAUCAUUGCUUAGUUCUUGCUUAAUUUCUCCAUUUUAUGUUGGGUCUUUGAUUGCAGGUUUAGCUCUGCGCGAGAACUGGGAAAUUUAAUUGUGACCUCCAAUCUAAUCGACUCUGCUUUGACUAAAAUUCUUGAGCUUCAAAGAGACCAAACAGCCUUGCCUUCCCCCGUUCAAUACAGAGUUUUUUAUCCAUCUCCCAAGUGCACAAUUGUAGCUUUUGUCUCUUCACCUGACUGCACUCAAAACCCUCUUCCUGGACAAGGAGAUUUAGUUCCCUCUCCUCUCUUUGACUUCCUCUGCACCGAAGAAUACCCUUCCGUCUCCAUUAACGGAGCCGCAUUAACCCUCUUUACCUCUCUCUACGAUCAUCUCUCUGGACUAAUAGAUGAGGUCAAAAUCUGAUACUUGUUUUAAUUUACGUUAACUUUUCGUUAACAAUUGUGAGACACGUAUAUAUAUAUAUAUAUAUAUAUAUCUUGUGGAUAAAAGGAAAGUUUACAAGUGAGAAUAGUGGCAUUUUUCUGACAGAUUUCACACCGUUGCUUGUUUUGCACUUGACUGUGAUUGAAGGUCGAUUAAUCAUCACUGGGCACUCGAUGGGAGGAUCCGUUGCUUCUCUCUUCACCUUAUGCCUGCUAGAAGUCAUUAAUAUAUCAAAACCCAAAUGCCGCCCCAUUUGCAUCACAUUUGGUUCACCCCUCAUAGGCGACUUUGGCUUCCAACACUCCAAUUGGAAUUCUUUCUUCUUGCAUGUAGUGUCCAACCAAGAUCUAGUCCCCGGACUCUUCCUCCCAUCCGGCAGAUCUCCUCCCACAUCCUCCCAUUCACAAACUACUGGUUACAAGCCCUUUGGGACAUAUCUCUUGUGCUCUGAACUUGGUUGUGCUUGUUUUGACAACCCUGAUUUAAUUUUGGAAUUGCUGAAAGUCAUAUCAUCAGAGGUUGCCGGAGGAUUGCGGGAUGUUGAUUACAGGAAGAUUUUAAUAAACCUCAAGGAGAGGGCAAUCUUCAAGGGACUUCAGCAGGUGGGUGAAAGGUUUGCAGAUCCCUUGUCAGCUGGGAUCAUCAUGGACCUUGAGAUAAUUGGAUUUGAUCAAACAAAGGUAAACAGCUUUCUCCCAAUUAAUGAUGUAGCAUGGUUUACACUCAACUUCACCAAAACCUGCAACAACUGCCCUAUUUAGAUUUGCCUUCCGGUUCUUUGGGUUCUUCUAUAACUUCUCAUUUUUUAAAUCCAUGGCAGCUGUUGCGGCACAACAUUGAUAUCAACACUGUGAUAAGGAUACUGGGAGCGGAAGCCAGAAUCCUAGCCCACAAAAAUAAAGCUUCUGAUGCCAAGAAACUGAAUGACAUAAAAAUACACAUGGCCCAGCUAGAAUGGUAUAAGAAGAAAUCAAAAGAUCUGAACAAGGGUUACUACGACUGCUUCAAAAACCAGGGGUUAAAAAGGGACAUUAAAAUUGAACAGUAUAGGGGACACCUCACAAUAUACUGGAAAGACAUGGUUGCACAAGUACAGAGGAAGCCCCAGAAGGAAGGAGCAUCAUUUCGAACCAGUUGGCUCUAUCCAGGGACAACUUAUAGAAGAAUGGUUGAACCACUGGACAUUGCUGCCUUCUACAGAGAGGGUAGAACAGACUACAUAAACAAUGGAAGAUCUCCUCAUUACAAGCUGUUGCAGCAAUGGUAUGAGGAAGAUGUGAAGCCCCCAUCCAGAGAUAAGCUCGAUUCCAAGAAACUAAAGGUGUCUGGUAUCCUAACUGAGGAUUCUUUGUUUUGGGCACAUGUGGAGGAGGCUCUCUUGUCAUGCGAAUCGCUCAAGAGUGCAAACUCUACUCUUGAGCAGAGAAAAUCAUCAUGGGAUAAUCUGGUUAAGUUUGGGGAGUAUGUAAUGGAACAGAUUGGAAACUAUGCAGUGUCCCCUGAGAUUUUCUUGGGGGAAAGCAGCUUCAUGAAAUGGUGGGGAGUGUAUGAGGACUACAUAGAUGCUUCCAAUAAUUUCUAUGGGUCACCAUUGAUCAACUUUAUGAAGGACCGUAGUUAUAGACUGUAUGGUUAGAGGGCAAUCCAGUUUGUGUAUUGUGUUUAUUGUAUUGUGAGCAUUCAAUAGAUAAAACUAGAAAGAGCGUGACCUUUUUAUGACAACUUUAGAAACCAGGGGUUAAAAGAGACAUUACAAAUUGAAUUUUUUGAGAGGAAACCUCAAGAGUAUACUGGGAAGCCAUGGUGGAACAAGUAGAGAGGAAGCUUCGGAAGGAAGGAUCAAUGGUUGAACCACUUGACAUUGUUGCCUACUUCAGGGAGGGUGUAAGAAACAACAUAACCGAGGGAAGAUCUGAACAUUAAACAUUGUACAAUUAUUGUAAAUGUCUUAUACAUUACGUGUGAAAAUACCAAAAAAAAUUAUAUUCAACAUUUAUGUUUGUAUACAAGCAAUAUUUUGGAUAGUUUGAUAUAAAAAACAAAUGAAGAAAACGAAGAAAAACAUACAAAUAUAUUUACAAUGGACAAACUUAUACAAUUAGUGUAAAUGUCUUGUAUAUUUAGUACAAAAGUCUCGUACUUUGUAAAAAUAUAAAAAUAUAGUAUUUGACUUUUAUAUAUGUGUGAAAAUGUAAAAGGAAAAAGAAAAAUAGUUAGAGCAUUUGGUACCGUGAGUGAUGACUUCACCUAAAGAAAGGUUAAUGAAUAUUAUGGUCUCGAUGGAAGAGCGACUCCGGUAAAAUAUAUGGAUUAAAUUGAUGCUUUUCUUUUGACGAUGAAGUAGUUGAGUUAUGAAUACGAGGUUUUGCUAACAACAUUGAAGGCAAGGAUUCCCUAAUAUACUCCAAUUCAUAUUCAAUUUGUAGACCUUCAACUAACUACUCUUGCUAAUGAGCAUAUCCAAGUGAAUACAUAAGAUUAAUUAUUACAUAUGAUAAUUGAAACCCUGUUUAAAUAAAUAGUGACACAAAUAUAAAAAAUAUAUAUAUUUAAAAAUAAAUAAAUAAUAAUUUAGAGAAUUUCAUAACUUAGCAUCAAACCUAUUGUAGGAAAGAGUAUUAUACAAUGUAGGGUUUAGGAUCAAAGUUAACCUAAGAUCAAAUUUAAGUCUUAAGACCAAUUCACAUUCAAAACUAAGGUUUUAAAUUUCAAAAAUAUAUCUCUUAAACCAAUUAAAUGGAAAAAAGAAAAUUACAAAGAAAAUUUCUUCCUCAUCGGUUUCUUUUAUCUUGAAAACUAAAGGAAAUAUAUAUCAAUAUUUGAGAUGGAAAUUCAUAAUCUUAGAAACACAAAGAACAAAGAGAGUAUGAAGAGACCAUACCAUGAGAGAUUUUCCAAAAGGUUGGUAAACCAUGGUAAUCACCUUUGAGUUUUGCUGAGAAAAACAAACCUUAAUUUUUAUUUUUAUUUUUUUAUCAUUUUUUCUCUUGUGGUGUACAUUUAAGAAAAACAAAUCUUAAAAAAAAAAAAAAAAAAACCAAAUAAUGCCAGAAUUUGGGUUGAGAAACACCCAAAAGAUAGUGGCCCAAUACAUGUGCCUAAGAAAAUCUUCAUGAGCCGAUAAACAUAGUCACAAAACUAGGAACAGCCUUGUAGCCAUAGUUGGUGUAGUAUGAGCAAGUGGGGUAUGAAGUAGGUAGGUGAGUAUUGCAAUGAAAUUUCCAGCACUGCUUCCUGAAUUAAGAAAUCACAUACUCAAGUCUUAAUCGUUGUCAUCAUACCGUGUGAGAACCGAGGAAGAAUCUUUGCUCUUAGACUGGAUUUUGUAGUCUUUCUUUAACAAUUACAAGUUAUCUGAAUUCCCUUCAUCCUCCUAUAUAAUAUUGUUUUUGGUCUUGUUCUUGUUGCAUUGUGGCUAGGCAUCUCCAUGGGAGGAAGGAGGAUGAAUCAAGUUCCUUUGUAUGAAUCAAUUUCUCUGCUCUUUUUUUUUUCAAUCCUUGAAUCGAAUCAUUGCUUAGUUCUUGCUUUAAUUUCUCCAUUUUCUGUUGGGUCUUUGAUUGCAGGUUUAGCUCUGCAAGAAAACUGGGAAAUUUAAUUGUGACCUCCAAUCUAAUCGACUCUGCUUUGACUAAAAUUCUUGAGCUUCAAAGAGACCAAACAGCCUUGCCUUCCCCCGUUCAAUACAGAGUUUUUUAUCCAUCUCCCAAGUGCACAAUUGUAGCUUUUGUCUCUUCACCUGACUGCACUCAAAACCCUCUUCCUGGACAAGGAGAUUUAGUUCCCUCUCCUCUCUUUGACUUCCUCUGCACCGAAGAAUACAAGUCCGUCUCCAUUAACAGAGCUGCAUUAACCCUCUUUACCUCUCUCCACGAUCAUCUCUCUGGACUAAAAACUCAGGUCAAAAUAUGAUAGUUGUUUUUAUUUUCGUUUCCUUUUUGUUAACAAUUGUGAGACAUGAAACAGCUUGACCAUGAGAUCUCUCUCAUAGAGUCAAACUACCUGAAGAAGAAGAAGACGUUACACAUAUCCAUCUGCGCUGCAUCAUCGCAUUACCCAUUGAUCGGUUGUGAUUCAACUCUUAAUAGGAAGACAGUAGAACUGGUGUUGGUAUCUGUUUUUAGAUCAGCUUAUAUGUAUCUUGUUGCUAAAAAGGGAAAGUUUAGAAGUGAGAUUAAUGGGAUUAUUCUGACAUGGAUUUCAUAUGGUUACCUGUUUUGCAGUUGACUGUGAUUGAAGGUCGAUUAAUCAUCACUGGGUACUCGAUGGGAGGAUCCGUUGCUUCUCUCUUCACCUUAUGCCUGUUAGAAGUCAUCAAUUUAUCAAAACCCAAAUGCCGCCCCAUUUGUAUCACCUUUGGUUCACCCCUCAUAGGCGACUUUGGCCUCCAACACUCCAAUUGGAAUUCUUUCUUCUUGCAUGUAGUGUCCAACCAAGAUCUAGUCCCCGGACUCUUCCUCCCAUCCGACAGAUCUCCUCCCACAUCCUCCCAUUCACAAAC
RNAcentral lists this long non-coding RNA (21023 nucleotides) under Vitis vinifera (wine grape). RNAcentral describes it as "long non-coding RNA (VVIN_LNC004863)". Lineage: Eukaryota; Viridiplantae; Streptophyta; Magnoliopsida; Vitales; Vitaceae. The record is from RNAcentral.